Non-coding RNA from Oryctolagus cuniculus (rabbit), 4401 nucleotides. The record is from RefSeq and is a predicted model, not a curated record. Lineage: Eukaryota; Metazoa; Chordata; Mammalia; Lagomorpha; Leporidae.
GCAGACCCUGGGGGAUCCUCUUCCUGGUCUGCUCCUGAGAGAGCCCUGGUCAGCUCAGACACUUCUACCCUGAACUCCCCUCAGCGCAGGGCCCUGAGAGGACGCCCGGAGUCCCUGGACGCAGGAAGCGGUAUAAUUGUAGAUGCCACUACAUGUUUCGGGGGCCAAAGAAAAUGAAUACAACACCAAUUCCAAAAUCAUCCGCAUCUUAUAUAAGAGGCAUAGAAGACACACACAGAGAAAUGCACUCCUAGUCUUUUUGUGACAGAACUGGCAUGAUGAACCAAAAAAAAAUGCGCUGUUGCAGAUGUUGGUGUCAUUUGAAGACCUGGCUGUGGACAUCACUCAGGAGGAGUGACAGUACCUGGACAGUUCUCAGAGGACCCUGUCAAAGAUAUGAUGAUGGAGACCUACAAUAGCCUGUUGUUUUUGGGGUACUGCAAAAGCAAACCUGAGGUGAUCUUCAAGUUGGAACAGGGGACAGAGCCAUGGACAGUGACAAAACCCCUAAAUUGGAGCCUGUCAGGAGGCCUGAUGAGAUGUGAGCUGCAGAGAAAUCUGAUGGCACUAAUGUACCUGGCAACUCAAGUGAACGUUGGGAGCCCAUCAGGCAGCCUCACAAGAUUCAGCCUUUUCAGCAGGUGUUUGAACACAGUGUAAAAGGCAAAGGGUUCAACAGGAAAAGGGUGUUCUUUACAAAUGAAAGGGCUCAUAUGGGAGACACCUGUAAUAAGUCAGUUGGCAUUGUAGGAAAGACAACUGAACAUGUAAAGAAAACUUUCCAGAAAAAGUCCUACCUCAGUAAACCUCAACAAGCACACACAGGAAAGAAACUUUAUGAAUCUUUUGAGUAUGAGGAAACUCUCAUUUACAAAUCAGAUUUUAUCACAAGUCAAAGAACACAUACAGGAAGAAAACCUAUUCUUGUAACCCCUGUGGAAAAUCUUUCAAUUGUAAAUCCUGCCUUUCUAUCCAUCAUGGAACUCAGAAAGGGGAAAGGCCCUCUGGGUGCGAUGAAUGUGGGAAAGCCAUUUACCUGAGGUCAGAUACUACAAAUCACAUGACUCACACAAGAUACAAAUCUUUCACAUGUAAAACGUGUGGCAAAGCAUUUUAUUGGAAGUCACAACUCAUUCUACAUCAGAGAAUUCACACAGGGGAGAAACCUUAUCAAUGUAAUACAUGCAGAAAAGGCUUUCAUUGGAAAACAAUCCUUAUUUCACAUCAAAGAAUUCACACAAAGGAGAAAUCUUACAAAUGUGAUAUAUGCAGAAAAGCCUUUUCCUGGAAGUCAAAUCUCACUGUACAUCAGAGAAUUCACAUAGGGCAGAAACCUUAUGAAUGUAAUAAAGGUGGAAAAGCCUUUAUCCAAAAGUCAAAUCUAACUUCACAUCAGAAGAUUCACAUAAAUGAGAAACCUUAUGGAUGUGAAAUGUGUGAAAAAACCUUUCGCUGGAAGUCAAACCUCACUACAUAUCAGAGAAAAUUCACACAGGGGAUAAACCUUUUGAAUGCAAUACAUGUGGAAAAGCCUUUUCCCAAAAAUCACAACUCAUUGCACACCAGAUGAUCCACAAAAAGGAAGAAAACUUAUGAAUGUAGUACUUGUGGAAAAUCGUUUUUCCAGAAGUCACAACUCACUCUACAUAAGACGGAGUAGAUUUAUAAAUGCAAAAUGUGUGGAAAACCCGUUUGUUGGAAAUCACAACUCUUUACCCAUCAGAGAAUGCAUAGAUCAGAGAAAAUUUAUGAAUGCAAUACAUGUGGAAAAGUCUUUUGUAAUAACUCACAACUCAUUACACAUCAGAGAGUUCACACAGGGGAGAAACCUUAUCAAUGUGAUGAAUGUGGAAAACAUUUUCCCAGAAUUCAAACUUCAGAAGGCAUCAAAGAACUCACAUGUAAGAGAUAACUUGUCAGUGCUAUGGAUAAGAAAAGACUUUUUGCCAGAAGCUACAUCUCAACAGAAGGCAAAACUCACAAAAAGGAAGAAACACCUUUUAAUGAAGUGAUUAUGAAAAUUCCUGAUGCCAGAAGUCAGUGUUAAGCACACAUCAAAGAACUCACAGGUGAGAAAGCAUGUGAAUAUAGGAAAACUUUCUACCAUAAGCCAGAUCUCACUAUCAGGGAUCUUAGAGGAAGAACUCUACAAAGGCAGUGGAAGUGGACAAAGCUUUUACUCUGAGGCAGAUUUCAACAAGCAUCAGCAAAAUUAUCCACAAAAUUAUUAGUACAUAAAAUAAGUGCUAGCAAAAUUACUCAAUAUUAUUCUGCAAAACAGUAAUGAAGGUGGAAAAAUACCUGUUUAACAUCACAUCUCUGCAGGUAUUAGGGAAUUCACAUGAGGGUGUAACACUGUACUGCAGAGGCUGGCUAUGCAGUCUUUGAAAUCUACAUUAGUCUCUGUGCCAUAUAAUCUGCUGUUUUGCCUGCACUUAUUAUGAGUAGGGGGACGAUAUCCACAUGUAAUUUUUUGUAAGUAAAUACUCAUUCUAUACUACUCAGUUUGAAAUACAACCCUAACAUUUGCAAAGUAUUUGGUACAACUCUUUCACUGCCUGCACAUGAGUCUUCCUCCAUUUAUUCUAGUACAGAUCAGUAAUGUGACCACAGUUGUGUUACCUCACAUGCCAGCCAUAAUGCUGUACUAUUAGAGUUGGAUGUUGUUUUUUUUUGUCCUAGGUAGGAUUUGUCUUGUGGCUUUUUCAGUCAUGUGAAUCGCAGAUUUGUGUGUAGACUGUCUCAUUUGUCCAUAUUACCAAUCUAUUUAUAGAUUGAAGUGGAUUCAUAAGUAUUGCUUUGGUGGCCAAAUGUCCAAACUAUCUUCCUGGGAUUGUUUCUGGGCCAAUGUUUAAUUUUUUUUCCAUUAAAAGACAAUGACAGAGCAAAACAUGUACACAGAGUUCUUAUAUUCACUACUUCACUACCACAGAUGGCUGAAACAGCCAUGUCUAGGUGAGACCAAAGCCAGGAGGCCUAAAUUCCAUUUUAGCCUCCCACAUGGGUGGAAGGGCCCCAAACAUAUGGAUCAUUAAGUACUUACUUCAUAGGAGUAUUAGCAAUGUAGUGACUGAGAAACAAAGUAGCUAGGACUCCCAGCUAACACUUAAAUAUAAAAUGUCAGCAUUGCUCACAGCAGCUUAACCUGUUGUUCCACAGUGCUGGCCAUAGUUCUUUUUAUUUUUGUCCUUGUUUGUUCUGUAGCUCUCUUGCCUCUCUACUGUGGUUAUGCCUGUUUGGAGUCAUUUACCAAUGUUCUGACUUCUGUUUUAUUUCAUUUUACUAUCUGAUGAUAUAGGCAGCUUGCUUUUCUAGUUUUUUACAUGCAGUACUAUGUUGUAAACUUGCAAUUUUCCUGCUUUUAAAAUGGCUACAAUAUCUGUAACUGUGCCAGGAUGAAGACAGGAAUCAGAAACUUCAUCUGAAACUCCCACAUGGGUACAGUGGCCCAGACAUAUGAUCUGGGAGCAGUAUUGGAAGUGGAUCAGCCAGAACUUGAAGUGAUGGCCAAUAUGAGAUGCCAGCACUGAAGACAGUGGCUUUACCCUCUAGGCCAUAGUGCCUGCCCUUUUAUAAAUUCUAUGAAACAUGUAAAAACAAUUAACAUCAAUACUUCUUAAACUAUUCAAAAAUAGGAGAGAAAUAAUUCUUCAAAAUGCAUUCUAUAAGGUCUGCAUUACCUUUAAACCAAAACCAAAGAUACAACAAAAACUCAAAUUAUAAACUAAUAUCCUUGGUAAGUACAGAUGGGAAAAUUUACAAAAAUACUAGUACAUUAAAAGGAUUACAUACUACAGUCAGAAGAGAUUUACCCCAAGGAUACUAGUGUGUUUUUACAUACACAAAUCACUACACAUGACAUGCUAUAACAACCAAAGUGCAAAAAUCGUGUGUCAUUCUCAAUAGAUGUAGAAAAGGCACUUGAUAAAAAUUAAGAGUCUUUCAUAAUAGGAACUCUGAACAAAUCAGGUACACAAUAAUGUAACAAAGGACAUAUACAACAAGCCAACAGCUGACACAAUAUUGAAUGUGGAGAGGCUGAAGAAUUCUUCUCCAAGAUCUGGAAUAACACAAAAUGAUCACUUUAAGCAUUUCUAAUUCUUUUGACAGGCAGAGUGGACAGUGAGAGAGAGAGAGACAGAGAGGAAGGUCUUCCUUUUGCCGUUGGUUCACCCUCCAGUGGCCACCGUGGCCAGCGUGCUGUGGCCGGCAUACCGCGCUGAUCCGAUGGCAGGAGCCAGGUACUUAUCCUGGUCUCCCAUGGGGUGCAGGGCCCAAGCACUUGGGCCAUCCUCCACUGCACUCCCUGGCCACAGUAGAGAGCUGGCCUGGAAGAGGGGCAACCGGGACAGAAUCUGGUGCCCCAACCGGGACUAGAACCCGGUGUGCCGGCACCGCAAG